This 249-nucleotide long non-coding RNA is filed under the name Gossypium raimondii (Peruvian cotton). RNAcentral's name for it is "long non-coding RNA (GRAI_LNC010538)". The record is from RNAcentral. Lineage: Eukaryota; Viridiplantae; Streptophyta; Magnoliopsida; Malvales; Malvaceae.
UUGUUCGGCAUGGGUUUUGGUUGUAAUUUGUGUGCUCUCCUUUUUUUCUUUCUUAUUUGCAGGAUCUGGUUUUGUGUUUUUUUUUUUUAAUGUUGGAACCUUUUCUUAUUGGAGGAGGUAGCUUGAUUGGGGAGUUGAUUUUAGGGUUUUUUGCCAUUGAUUUGCAAAACGGGAAAGAUAGGCUUUUUUUUUGCCUUUUCUGUUUCCACCACUUUAGCCCUCCCUUUGGCUUUCAGAGAUUGAGAAAAA